ACCCAGACUUGCACUCUUUGGUUUCCGGCUCUGUUCCGGCGACUACACGCGGUCGGUUUACAGGAGACUAACGCUGCACGUGGAGAGCUGCUUGGCUCUCGCGACUUCGCCCACCCGACCCGCAUGUUCGAAGAGCCGGAGUGGGCCGAGGAGGCCCCGGUAGCCACGGGCCUCGAACCUGUAGCUGCACGACCUCGGCCUGCCGCAGCCUCGCAAAUCAAGGGCUCCAAGCACCGUCAGCUCUUGGCCACGUUACGGGCCCUGGAGGCAGCAGCUCUUCCCCAGCAGUCUCCUAGCCUGCCUGGCAGUGACUCUGAGGAGGAGGUAGUGGAAAGGAAGAAGAAACACUCAAAAAAGGCCUCAUUUUCCAAUGUUUCUAUUGAAGUAGAGAAGAAGAGGAAGAAGAAAUGUCAGAAACAGGGCCCACCUGGCAGUGACUCUGAAGAAAAGGAAGUAGAAAGGAAGAAAAAGUGCCUCAAAGGGGUUUUUAAUGCCAGUGACUCUGCUGAAGAAGAGAAAAGGAAGAGGAAACACCAGAAACAGGUCCACUCAAACCCUGCCCAGCACCUGGACAAUGAUGACCAAACAGGUCCCAAAGCUUGGAAGAGUAGAGAUACAAAUGACCUAUCCCAGCCAAGCGCUGGGACCACUUCUGCCAACCCCCCCCACAUCUUGAGUCGCAAGCAGUGGCGGAACCGACAAAAGAAUAAACGUAGGCAUAAGAAUAAGUUUCGGCCACCUCAGCCACCAGACCAGGCUCCAGCCACAGUCUCCACAGAGGAGACAGAGAUGCCUCCUGACCCCAGUCCACACAGCCAUGAGGAUCGGGCAGGGGCUCUGCGAGCCCGCAUGGCACAACGGCUGGAUGGUGCUCGAUUUCGUUACCUCAACGAACAGCUAUACUCAGGGCCUAGCAGUGCUGCACAGCGUCUCUUCCAGGAAGACCCUGAGGCCUUUCUCCUCUACCAUCGCGGCUUCCAGAGCCAAGUCAAGAAGUGGCCACUGCAGCCAGUGGACCGCAUUGCCAGAGAUCUUCGCCAGCGGCCUGCGUCCCUGGUGGUAGCUGACUUCGGCUGCGGGGACUGCCGCCUGGCUUCAAGUAUCCGGAACCCUGUACACUGCUUUGACUUGGCCUCUCUGGACCCCAGGGUCACUGUGUGUGACAUGGCCCAGGUGCCUCUGGAGGAUGAGUCUGUGGAUGUGGCUGUGUUCUGCCUUUCACUGAUGGGAACCAACAUCAGGGACUUCCUAGAGGAGGCAAAUAGAGUGCUGAAGCCAGGGGGUCUUCUGAAAGUAGCUGAAGUCAGUAGCCGUUUUGAAGGUGUUCGGACUUUUCUGGGGGCUGUGACCAAACUGGGCUUCAAAGUCAUCUCCAAGGAUCUUACCAACAGCCACUUCUUCCUGUUUGACUUUGAAAAGACUGGGCCUCCUCGGGUCGGUCCCAAGGCUCAACUCACAGGCCUGAAACUUCAGCCAUGUCUCUACAAGCGCAGGUGACCUCUGGGGCCCCCUUGAAAGGGAGGCAAGUCUCGAACUCCAGGCUCAGAACUCUGAAGACUGUAUCCAGCCAGGCUCUGACCCAAGAACGGGGUCAGAAAGAGGAUGUGUGGGAAGAGACCAUGCAGGAUUGCUGUGUAGAGAGCUUAUUGUGAGACAGCACAGCUGGACUGUCAGGACCCGCCCCCUCACCUCAGCUCUGACUGUGGACUCCACUGGGACCAUUCAGGAAGCUUGAGCUAUUAGGUAGAGAGGAGGUGAGAAGAGCCGAGAGCACACAGAUUAUUCUCCUCCUCCCCAACUCAGCCUCCUUGAGACAUAGUAAGUGGGGCAGAGCUGGGAGGGGAAGACGGUUAAAGCUCCAGUGGGUGCACAUUAUUUAUUGUUACCUAGGGUUAGAUAUCCUAAUUGCUUGAGAUGAAGAGGAGGUGAGAAGAGCAGAGAGCACACAGAUUAUUCCUAUUAUUCCUCUUCUCCCCAGUUCAGGCUCAUUGAGACAUAGUAAAUGGGGCAGAGCUGGGAGGGGAAGGUGGUUAAAGCUCCAAGUGGGUGCACAUUAUUUAUAGUUACCUAGGGUUAGAUAUUCUAAUUGCUUGAGAUCGCGUAAGACCGUUAACUAAGAAUAAGCUGAAAAGUCACGGGCUUGCUGCAGCUUACCUCCACAGCAGGGAAAGAGUAUCCCCAAAUGAAAAUGCUUUGGAGGGGUGGUGAGAGACAAGAAUAAGCUUGGGUUUGGAUGGCAGUCUGUGCCUUGUGCUUGUUCAGCAUGCCUUUGAGAGGUUUCUUGCUGCUGCAGUUUUUGGUGUGCUCCAGCUCUUGUUCCUGUAACACAGUCCUAUGGAACACGGUUCCAAAGGAAACAACAUGAUCUUGGCAGAGACACAACUUAGCUCCAAACACUCAGCCAUUUACAUAAAUGCACAGAGCCCUUUACAGCUUUUCACAGAGACCCACAAUAGUGUUUUUUUUUUUUUUAUCCCCAGGUGGUCCUCCUUCCCAGAUGACUUCUCAGACUGGCCACCUGUUUCUAGGAUAUUCAACUACUGUAGCAAUUGCCUUAUUGGUCUAAUUCCAUCACUCCUGCCCCCAAAGCAAUUUGUUUCCCACACAGCCAAGUGAUGUUUUUAAAAUGUAAAUCAGAUAUUGUCAUUUCUCUGCUUAAAAUCCUUCAAUGGGUUCUCAGUGCUCUGAGAACAAAAGACAGACUCGCUCCCAGGCCCUGUGUGAUCUUGCUCAGGCCUUGCUCUCCAACUGCAUCUUAACCCACUCCUUCCUCACAAGACUCCAGCCAUGCAAGCUUUCUUUUCAUUCCUCUAGCAUUCCAAGCCAUUCCUGCUGGGUCUUUACACAUGCUGCUCUAUCUUUUUACAGUACUUUUUGUGAUGAGCUCAUUUUCAUCUUCCAGAUCUUCACACCAAAUCCCCGUUUCUUCUUUGGAAGAAACUGGCUAGAUGCUCACCAAAAUGUCCUUUUUAUGGACACAUAGUUAACUAUGUUUCCCAGCUCCUUGCAUCAAGGCAGUGCUAUUGUCUUCGCCAAUGGAAAGUAAGUAGGAGUAAUGCUUUACUGCCAGACCAAGGCAAUUAAAGAGUGGAUGAGCCUUCUCCACAUUCUGCCAUCCCCUCUUCUGCCUUCCUGGGUGAGCUUGAAGCAUAUGUUUUAAAGACUGUGGAGUCAAUUGCUUGGAGGAAAUCUGCUUGACCAAGAACAUCCACAUUGGACUUUUCAACAAAAAUAAACCUCUAUUGCAUUAAGUUACUGAGCUUUGGGAAGGUUAUAGAAGUUAGUAUUAUAUACUCUGGCUAAUAUAUCUUUUCUGGGCAUCCUGUCCACCUUGCUCUUGACCACAAAACCUUUUUUUGUUUCCCUCAGGGUGCUUCAAACAUGUAAUUAUCUUACCAGAUGCCAGUCAACACUCCUACCUAUCCUAUAACUUCGAAUCUUAAUUGAGAAAAAAACGUCCACGUGAGGAAGUUGAGAUACUCAUUUUAUCAGUUGCAUUUUGAUUGUGACCAGAAAAAAAAAAUCCCACUGAAGAAUGUCCUAAACAAAUUAGAUUUUUUUCUUCUACUAUACUUAGAAACCUGAAGGUAGAUGGCUGCUGUCAGUGGUUUAGGAAUUCAAGGAUGUUAAGUUUUAGGUCUUUGUUGCUCUUGGUGUCUUGAUUCUAAUGGUUACAAGAUGAUGUGUUCUUGAUUAGUCGGGGACACCCUACUUACUGUUACACUUCUUGGGAGUCUUGUUGAUUGCCACAGCCCCUACCUUUUUGGCUUUACUUCAAGGGUCCUUCUAUAUUAUUAAUACUCUGGUAUAAAUAUGUUUCAUUAUUCCCUACAACAUAAUUGAGGCCAAUUUAAAAUAUUAACAUUUUCUUUUCUAUCUUUAUUUUUUUGAAUUUUAUAUUAAGUAGGCUUCAUACCCAGUGUGGAGCUUGAACUCAAGACCCUGAGAUUAAAUAAGAGUCACAUGCUCUACCAACCGAGCCGUCAGGUGCCCCUAAAAUAUUAACAUUUUAAAAUAUAUUUGUCUCCCACACUCCUUCCCACACCUCAGUGAUCUAUUAGCAACUUACCCAGUUUGAAGCUGUUCUUCCUCCAGCCCAGUGGGGUGGGGAAGCAUGGUCUUUAUUUCAUUCGUUACCUCCUCUGUCACUUAGGAUUGGGAUGGGGAGGACACACUAGAGGAGAAAAAGGUAAACACCAUCAGUGUGCUCUACUAAGACAGGCACUUAUUUAAAUGUUGGCUCUCAUGUGGGGUAUUGGGGUUCUUUGGAGCCCCCCAGUAGGGACUUGUGCACUGGCUGGCUUUGCUGCUUAUUAUACACAGCCCACACUUCCCCUCAGCUCUUCAGCUUCUGCCCCUGUCCAUGAAUCCAUAGCUUCCUAAUGCUAACAUCCCUAUCCCUGGCACAGAGGGAGGGGACCUGGGACAGUUUCCAACAAACACUUCAAGAUUAGUUCCCUUUCAGGGAGCCCACCAGAAACUCAUGCAUAUUUUUCCCGCCAACACUGGCAGUGCAGCGCAGUCAGCAGCUGACCCCUCUCCCCUUGCUUGCCUCAGCCAGCCUGACUGACUUCUCCAUGUGAGAAGCACCAAUCUCUAUAUGCAUAUGGCUGCAAACCCUCAUAAGUGAUUCAGGUUGUGUUAACUCCCAAGAGGCCUCUGCCCCAGGCCCCACCUCAGUGGCCAUAUACAGAUGGCUCUAUUAAGUUCCUGAGUGUGGCAAGCCUCUAGCUCGAGAAUGUAAUCUGAAUGAAUGUAAAGCUUGUCCCUCUCGUGGAGACACAGAACUACUAUAAAUGGUUCUAUUAGAGCCCUCCUCACUUGAUUUAUGAUGCCUUUCGGGGGGAAAAGUUCUCUAUUCCUAAAAAAAUUCCCAUCAAUGCAUCUUUCAUUUCUCACUUCAUAUACAGUAGAAAGUUUGAUGGUCUCUGGAUCAGCUUUAUUUUCUUAGAAUAAAUCCUAUGUGGAUGUAUCCAGCAUCUUUAUUUAGAAUGUGUCAGUGCCUAUUACCUAUGGUCUUCAGUCUUGGUGUAUUAUCCAAAGGUUUUAGACGACUGAAAAACUCAUUUAACAUCCUCUUUCUUAUGUACAUAUUCUUAGAAAACGUGAACUGCGGGGCGCCUGGGUGGCUCAGUCGGUUGAGCGUCCAACUUCGGCUCAGGUCAUGAUCUCACGGUCCGUGAGUUCGAGCCCCGCGUCGGGCUCUGUGCUGACAGUGCAGAGCCUGCAGCCUGUUUCGGAUUCUGUGUCUCCCUCUCUCUCUCUUACCCUCCCCCACUCAUGCUCUGUCUCUCUCUGUCUCAAAAAUAAAUUAAAAAAACGUUAAAAAAAAUUAAAAAAAAGAAAACGUGAACUGCUUUAUUUAUAUAGAGUAUUACUGACGAUGUAUUCUUACUUUCCCUCCCUCCCUCAGCUCUGUUUUUAGUAUCCAUUCACGUAUCAAUCGGAGCCCUGUCGGGAAAAUGCAGUAAAGGGCAUUUAUUGAGAAUUGAUUCCAAGUGUUGGAAGGAUGAAAGAAUAGGUCGAAGUUGCUGAUGUAAUUCAAAAAUUAACUGGAGAAUUCCGAGAGCAUCCCAAGUCCUGGGAAAACAAACAGGAAGAAGUGGUGUAAUCACCAGAAAUUAGGAGCUCAGAGAAAGACCCCCUUUUGACUGAUACUCACAUAUUUGUGGGGGAAGCUCCUUCUACAUACCUAGUGCUUGGACCUCUGAGGAAGGGAGUGACUGCCUGUCUGCUUCUACAUUCUGACAAAUGCGGCAAAGCUGCUGCUGAGUGCAGAAGCAGCUAAUAGCUGGAGCCAGCUGCCUGCAGCUGAAGUAAUGAGACAGCAGCUGGAAAACAGGGACAAAGGGCCUUCCUCCCCUCUCACUUUCAGGUUCCGUUUAGGACAUCCCAUUGACAGGAACUAAUGGAACCAGCUGGCAGUAGAUUCUGGGAAAUAGAGUUUGCAGACUCCCAGCUGCAGCAACACAAAGAGUGUGUGUAAGGGGGUGGGGAGUGGGGGGUGGAGGGAGAUCUGUAGAGGCCAGGAGCCCUAAGAAAAUAGGUAAAUAAGGGAUACACUCCACUAGCUGCUCUUAUGCAUACUUUGUUGCUUCUGUCAGCCGUGGGUCACCGUGGAGUGUUCAGGGUAUACAUCCACCAGAGUAAACGUAUCCAUUCACUUGGUUGCUUCAAAUUCUUUGCUACCUGGAGAAAUUAAAAUCCCUGGAGCUGGGGUUCUGAGUAAAAACUAUGUUCCACCAAUUAGAUGCGCUCAUCUGAGGUUUGGGAGGCGAGGGGCAUCUUCCUGCUGCUUGGCUGUUGCUGCUGGAGAGCAGGUUUGUCUAGAUGUUGGGCUUUCUGCAGCAGCAUUCCCCUUGAGGCCAAGGACAAAGUAAGGAUUCCCACUGUAAUGGCUCAAGUUCAACAUGGGACGGAGGUUCAACAGGCAAAAUACAACUUACUGUGUGACACUAUAAGAAAGUGUGGUUAAGAAAAAAAUGUACUGGGAGGAUAUCAGUUAAGUAAUUCACAGAACUCCUGAGAAGUCCAGGGAGUGAGGCUUAGAAAACAAACACGGACCAACUGCAAAACCUAAGUCACACUUCAGAGAGUCUGGUUAGGAUGGCACUGCUGGCACCAUGGCUGCUGGACUUUUUUUGUGGUUUUUUUGUUGCCACAUAGGUUGAUGCUGGGAAUUGAGUUAAUCCUCCUAAAUUUGUGGCCCUGUUUUAGGAUUGGCCCAUGAAAGCCCUCUCUCCUGUUAUUUGUUUCCUUUAUUACUUAUUUGCUCUUUUUUCCUCACUCCCACAAUAUGUUUGUUGUGUGUCCCUAGAUACGUAUGUUAGCAACGUGCAUGGUUUGGUGUAUAUAUGUUGUGGCAGGGACUUGGCAGCUGUUCCUCACACCCAUUUUCUUCUUCCUGGGAAAUUAGCUGGACUCUGUUUUCCAGCUCCCCUUAUACUUUCGUGUGGCUAUGUGAUUGAAUUUGGCCAGUUGGGUGGUAGUGGAACUAAGGUAUGCUACUUGCAUAUUUGGGUCCUUAUAUUUUGCUACACAUUAGUCCCCAUGUCAAUCCACUUUGGCCAACUUGAUGCAUUUGCCCAUAUGUCCUUGAAAGGUACAUGUCAAACAUGAUGGAGCCAAAAGAUGGAGGGAACAUAGAUCCCUGAACAACACUUGGAGGGGAGCCACCUGUUUGGGACUUCACCUGAGUGAGAAGUCAUUUUCUUUAUAGAUGAACCAUUACACACUUGAGGGUUUGUUGUUACAGCAACUAUUGAUCUUUUUUAAAAUUAUUCUUAGUUGAACACAUCGGAAAAGUAAGCAAAACACAUACCCAUAUGGAAAAGUAAAUGAAACCAAAAUGUUUGACCCAUGGUUUUAUCAUAGGCCAGCCCCAUUGCAACCACCAUCCAAAUUGAGAAAGCCUCCGCACCCAAAAACCUUUUAUGCUACCUCCCAAACAUCAACCACUUGUUUCUCUCAACCAUACAAAGUUACCACCAUCCUGACUCUCGUGACAAUUUCCUUGCAUUCCUUUGUGGUCUUACUGGUUAAGCAUUGUGAUAUUGUGAUUUAUAAUAAAGAAUACAUAUUUCGUCCUCCCAUUUCUAGCACAGAGCUUCUAAAACCCUUGGGGUUUCCUAAGUGAUGAGAGCUGGAACCGGUCUUUUGUUAGGUUAAUGACUUUUGGAAUGCCCCCAAAUCACCUAGGAUUGAGGGGUUGCCCUGUGCAUCUUUUCCACCUGGAUGGUCAGCUGUAUUCUUUACUAUGUCCUUUUAUAAUAAGCCGGCAAAUGUAAAUAAACUUUUUCCAAGUUCUGUGACAACUUGGACUUGGGACUAGCAUUUGAAGUGCGGGAGGAGAGCAGUCAUGUAGGACUGAGCGCUGAGCCUGUGGAAUCUAAUGCUGUCUCAGGACAGUUAGUGUCAGAAUUAAGAUGAGUUGUAGAACACCCUGCUGGUGUCUCAGAGAAUUGUUUAUUGGUGUGGGGGCCUUCUCCCAUGGUGGAAUUGGGUGCUCAGACCCUUUUUAAAGCGUGUACACCUAAAUAGUACGUAUUUUCAUGUGUCUGGCUUUUUCACUCAACAUUAAGUUUAUGGGACUCAUCCAUGUUGUUGAGUACAAAUGAAUUUCAUUCACUGUUAUUACUAUAGAAGUAUCCUGUUCUGUAAGUAAAUUACGAUUGUAAACCAUGAUUGAUUAAUUCAAUUGUUUAGGUAAAUUUGAGUUGUAUAUUAAUCAGAAUGGGCUGUGCCAUGCUGCAGGAAAUUAAAAUCCAGAAUGUUAAUGUCUUAACUCCACAGAAGAUAAUUUCUUACUAUUGCUAGAGGCAGGGACUGUUCAUAGUCACUCAGGAACCCUAGCUAAUGCAAUGCACGCUUCCAAAAUCACUAGGAAAGAAAAAUGAACGAGGGAAAUCACUCCCUGGCACCCAAAGUUUCAGCCCUUUUUGCCCCUAUGUAAUUGGCCAAAACAAGUCUCCUUGUAGAGUUCUCCAUGUACAACUCUGUAGUUGGUGAGAAAGUGUACUCCUAUUGUGUGCUCAGGGGGAAGACAAACAAGGUUGGUGAACUGCCUAACAUCCAGCUUGUGGUCCCUGCAAAUAAUGCUGUGAACAACCCAGAAGGUCUCUUACUGUGUUCAGGGGAAGUGAUGUUGGUGGAAGUCCUUAUCUCAUUCUUAAACUUGAAAGAAAAGCUUUCAGUAUUUCAUCAUUGGGUAUGAUAUUUGCAUUGAGGUUCUGAUUAGUGGUUAUCAGAUUAAUGAUGUGCUUUUCUGUUUGCUAUUAUUUUUAUCAUGAAUUAGACUUCGAAUUUUGUCAAAUACUGCUGAAUUGAGAUGAUCAUAUAUAUAUAUUUAAUUUUGUUCAGUGUAGCAAGUAAUAGAUUCAUUUUCAUGUGUGAAAUCAACCUUGAAUUUUUAGAAUAAAAUCACCUUAGUUGAUUAUUAUUCUCUUUAUACAUUGCUAAAAUCAUUUUGGUAAUAUUUUGUCUAGGACUUUUGCAGCUAUGCUCAUGAGUGAACAUAAAUGAUAUUUUCCUAUAAAUCUUUUCUCACCACAAUGCUUUUAAGUGCUGUGCAUGUUGCUAUAUGUACCUUUGGCUCACUCUUCCUCCUCUUCAAAUGCUCUAAUGGCUUCCCAUCUCACUCAUAACAUAGUCCAGAAUUCUUACUGUUUCCCAAGAGGCCCUGUGUUUUCUGGAUUCCAGUUAUCUAACAUUCACUCCCUUUACUCAUGCCUUUUCAGAAAUACCGUCUAUCUUGCUAUUUCUUGAAUAUUCUCAGCAUGCCUCCCUGCCUCUGGGUCAUUGUGAAUCUAUGUGGAAUGUUAUUUCCAUGAUAUCUACCUGGCUCACUUAGGCACUUCAUUCAAAUCUCUGUUGAAAAGUCAGUUUUUAUAGUCCCCCUCUCUACUGCCAUACCACACUUAGUUUUUCUUCAAGGAACUUAUCACCUUUUAAAUUGCAUAUUUAUUUGUUUAUAUGAUUAGUGCGUAUUUCUUCACACUAGAAUGUAAGUUCAAGACAGCAAGGACUCGAUCUGUUUUAUUCAGUACUGCACCCCUAGGAUCUAGGCUUAUUUGCCUCUGAUGUCUGUUUAGUGUUCCAGAAUGUCUGUUUAGAACAUUUAACAUAUCCAUUUCCCUAGGUAAGGACAUUUAGAUUAUGCAAAUCCUUGUGACCACAAAAAAAAUGAGUAAAGAAUUUUCUUAUAAGUGUUCUCUUAAAUAUAUAUGUGUGAGUCCUGCUUCCAGAGUUCAACUUAAUUUGUCAGGCUGGUUAUUCCACUAUAAAAUAUAACAAAAUUAACAACUAUAAAAUCUGAACAAAAUAUAAACCAAAGAACAACUAUUUGAAGACACUGAAAAGUGAAGAAAAGCAGGCAAAAACUAGAGGAGAAUUUACCCUUAAAAUACUUCAACUGCAAUGGAUAAAAAUUAUGAUUUUGUGGUCUUGCCUGAAAGUCUUUCCCAGCCCCACAGCAUCCACCAGUUCCAAAGGCAAAAAACCACAGCCAUACUGGCUCAAAAUAGAGGACAGAGUUCAGGGCUGGUAAAGCAGCUGGAAAUUUAAGAGCAGAAAUCCUGGAAGUGAGAGAGUGCCAUGAGGGGUGAAACCAAAAUAUGAACAUAAACUCUGCCCAAACCUUUGCAUGACUGCUAAAAUACACAUGCAUAUAGAGGAGACUUAGGGGGGGGACCUAACACAUAAAACUGGCAGAGUCCAGAGAAGAGUCUACCCCUGAAUGACAGAAGUGCACUGUGUGAGAUGUGCAAAUUUGCUUUUUGACUGAGUGCAUUCCUCAAUUUAUGUCCAGCUUGGAUGGCAACUGAAGUGUCAGAGGACAGGGUUCGGUAGUGGAGAGCGGCUGGAAAUUUAAAAGGGAAACCCCAGAAGCAAAAGGACUGUAGAGGAGGUGAGCCCCAAAAUCUGAGCCAAAUUCUGCCUAGAUCCUUGGCCAGUGACUAAACUGUAAAUGUGCAGGUGAGAUGUUCUAGACCAGGCUUACAAAAAAAAAAAAAAAAAAAAAAAGCAUGCUGCUGCUAUAAGCUAAAAAAUAAGCAGAGACAUCUACUGUUACACAACACAGGAAAUAAAAAAUUUGCAAUUUAGGCCUGCUCCCACCCCAGAAUGCCUGCUAUAACAAUACCAAUAACAAAUUUUUAGAAUAUAACAGAAUGAAAACUUACUACAGCAUAUUAUCCACAAUAACCAGCUUUUAACCAAAAUUACCAGACAUACAAAUAAACAGAAAAUUAUAACCCUGUUAUAAAAACAUGAAAUUAUAAACAGUAAUUUAUACUCAGGGUAAAAGACACUCAAUAGAAAUUAACUCCAGGGGACACAGAUAUUGGAUUUAGCUGUCAAAUACUUCAGAGUAACUGUUAUUAGUGCAUUCAAGCAAUGAAAGGAAAAUAUGUAUUAGAAACUAAAGUAUGGCCUCAAUGAAUAUACAGAUAAGGAACCUUCCCAGAGACAGAAAUCAAAUGGAAAUUCUAGAAUUGAAAAGUAUAAAUAACUAAAAGCGAAAAGAAAAGGACAAUACAAAUUACUCAAUUUGAGUAACCGGGAAAAUAGACUGA
Acinonyx jubatus (cheetah) is the source of this 11072-nucleotide RNA transcript. It is a transcript of the gene named ribosomal RNA processing 8, with no coding region annotated. NCBI's taxonomy places the organism in Eukaryota, Metazoa, Chordata, Mammalia, Carnivora, Felidae. The transcript is spliced from 9 exons. The record is from RefSeq and is a predicted model, not a curated record.